Molecule: ribosomal RNA, 292 nt
Filed under: uncultured bacterium
Lineage: Bacteria
Description: partial 16S ribosomal RNA
Rfam family: Bacterial small subunit ribosomal RNA
Source: RNAcentral
GUGCCAGCCGCCGCGGUAAUACGGAGGGUGCAAGCGUUAAUCGGAAUCACUGGGUGUAAAGGGCACGCAGGCGGCUGGAUAAGUCGGGUGUGAAAGCCCCGGGCUCAACCUGGGAAUGGCAUUCGAUACUGUCUAACUAGAGUCUGGUAGAGGGAAGUGGAAUUUCCGGUGUAGCGGUGAAAUGCGUAGAUAUCGGAAGGAACACCAGUGGCGAAGGCGACUUCCUGGACCAAGACUAACGCUGAGGUGCGAAAGCGUGGGUAGCAAACAGGAUUAGAAACCCUGGUAGUCC